GCCUAUUGCAAACAGGAAAAAUGUAUUUUUUUUCAUAAUACUUAUAAUUAGGCACAAUAGCUGAGGCAGACACAUCACCCUUGAUUGUAGGGAUGUGUUUUGUCUAAUAGAUUUCUAACCUGGGGUUUUGGGAAAAACGUACCUGCAAGGAUAAUUCCUUCAACUCAGAAAUUUUAGAAUCUGUGUGUACCCAGUUGAUGAAGGAAGAAAGUUAGAAAAUUAAGAUGAUAUAUGUCUGUUAUAUAGCUAAAAUCAGCUGUAUCUAAAGCCUAGUAUUUACAUAAAAUGUUGUAUUCCAUAUUCUAAGUAUGGAAAUUAGAAUGUCUGAUCAGUGGCAAAUAAAACAAAUCCAGCCCCCCUCCUCUCCCACCAAGCAGGGCUACUAAGCCCUUCAGAAUAGUUUUUGCUUGCCAGGAUGCACCUGGUUGUGUUUUGUCUUUCAUGCCAGCUUCCUGUCAGAGGGGUAUAGAGAGGCUGACAUUUGAUGUAUGCAAAAGAACAAAGAAUAGGUUUUGCAUCAAAGCCAAGUUGGCAAAUAUUGUUGUUUCCUGUGACAAGUUUUGCUUAACUAGCGCAAGAACCAGCCAUGCAGAGAAGUGUGCUCCUAUAGUGCAAAACAGAAUCUAUUUAAGAAGGAGAAACAUCAACAGCAAAAAGAUGCUGCAAGGAGCACUGCCACAAUACAGAAAAAUUGAUAGAUUUGUCUCUUCAUGAGAAAAGAAAAUUUUAUGAACUGGGAGGAGGUGUCUUGGUUUUGUUGGUGUGUGUGUGUGUGUGUGUUUACCUGUUAAGUGCUUAUAUCUGAAUAACUUCUGGCUGCAACAAACGAAGAAACAAUUAUGUCAGCUUGUCCUUGGCACUGGCUGGGCACAUGUGUUCUGGGCUGCCUUAAAAAAGGAGUGGCCAGCAGGGAGAGGGAGGUGAUUGUCCCCCUUUACUCAGCUCUUGUGAGGCCCCAUCUGGAGUUCUGCAUCCAGGCCUGGGGCCCCCAGUACAAGAAGGAUGUGGAGCAUUUGGAGCAGGUCCAGAGGAGGGCCACUAAGAUGAUCAGAGGGCUGGAGCACCUCUCCUAUGAGGAAAGGUUGAGGGAACUGGGCUUGUUUAGCUUGGAGAAGAGAAGGCUCCAGGGAGACCUCAUUGCGGUCUUCCGGUACUUGAAGGGAGCGUAUAAACAGGAAGGGGAAUGGCUGUUUACGAGGGUGGAUAGUGAUAGGACAAGGGGGAAUGGUUUUAAAAUGAGAUGGGAGGUUUAGGUUAGAUGUUAGGAGGAAGUUUUUCACACAGAGGGUGGUGACACACUGGAACAGGUUUCCCAAGGAGGUUGUGGAUGCCCUGGAGGCAUCCCUGGAGGCAUUCAAGGCCAGGCUGGAUGUGGCUUUGGACAGCCUGGUCUGGUGGUUGGCGACCCUGCACAUAGCAGGGGAGUUGAAACUCGAUUGUUGUGGUCCUUUUCAACCCAGGCUGUUCUACAAAGGAAGACUAUAUGCUUGGAACUAGUACUUCAGUGUGAAGGGCAUACUGGAAUGACCUUGGUGACAUCCCUGGGUCUCUCUUUUACUUGGACACCUCCUGCAACUUGAUCAUCCACAUUGUAAAGUCACACAAACCUGGCAGUGCCAUUUCUAAAAGGAAAAGUGAUAAAACCUAUCUUCCAGCAAAUUCUUUCAGUAUUCAGUAGGUCCUUCUAUGCUUAUUUCAACCUCAUUUCUCACUUAGGUUUCACAAGUUUUCUCCAACCUGCACCACUGGUUUUGACAAUUUCUUCCUCGUUUUUAAUUCAUUGUAUGCUGGACUUUGCCAACACUGUGUGCACUCCCCAUCUUCAAGACUAAGUUGCCAUGUGUCUGUGACUUGAUUGCAGCUGGCUUAGUCUGCCUGACAUGCUUAAGAGGUGAUGCUAGAAUUGGGAUUUGUUUUCCAGGUUUGUCAGCUUUCUGCUUUCUAGAAAGGCCUUCAAGUCAGGAAAUUUCCUGAAACGUUCUAAAAAAUCAUGGGUGGCUGUAGUUAGAAGCAACUUAAAGUAAUAGCAACUUUAAUAAUAGCAUUGGUAGAAAUUUAUGAGAAACUUUUAAAGCCAGAAAGUUGGAGGCAGGUACAAUGAUGAUUUCAGUCUGUGAUGAUAAGCAUCUUUAGUAGAAAUCUUCAAAACAGAUGACCUCAGAUGUACAUUCAGACAUUAGAAAUGUGCACAGGUAAUUAGCAGCAUGGAUGUUGGUAAGCAGUAAAUGGAUAGUUCCGCUGCAUAUGAUUAUGCACCUUACUGUAAAUAGGAAUUGUGGGUUGUUUUAUUUAUUUAGUAUUUCUACAUCAUUUACUCUACAUUUUCUCCUCAGCUUUAGUCUUCGCAUCACAAACAUUCUAAAAAUUCUGGAAUAUACUCCUCUUACUAUGACUUUGUUCACCUCUUUUUCUAAGUUCUGCCAGUUUUCUCUCCUCAGUGUGUUCUAGAGUAAUUUACCUGUGAUGACAGAAAUAAACCUAGAAAAUAUAAUGGAAUUUUCCUAAUCUUCCAAAGUUUGCCUUUGGAUUCAAUGAUGUUGUAGGUCCCUUGAAGUGACCACAGAUCCAGACACACUUCUGGUCUCGCCAGGUAGGGUAUUUCUCAUGUGCUUGGGCAGGCUACCACGGACACCUGGUCAAUUAACGAUGCUCACAGCUCACUGGGACUGAUCAUGUCUCUCAAGAGCCACUAUAAUAUGUCUGUAGACAUAUGGCAUCUCUUCAAAACAGUUUCUACAUAAGCAUAUGUUUUUUAACACUUUUUCUCCUCCUUUGAACGAGAGCUUUAAAGACUUC
Long non-coding RNA from Gallus gallus (chicken), 2796 nucleotides. The record is from Ensembl. Lineage: Eukaryota; Metazoa; Chordata; Aves; Galliformes; Phasianidae.